This 59-nucleotide microRNA precursor is filed under the name Microcebus murinus (gray mouse lemur). RNAcentral describes it as "microRNA mmr-mir-1839 precursor (mmr-mir-1839 1 to 4)". The record is from miRBase by way of RNAcentral. Lineage: Eukaryota; Metazoa; Chordata; Mammalia; Primates; Cheirogaleidae.
AGGUAGAUAGAACAGGUCUUGUUUGCAAAAUAAAUUCAAGACCUACUUAUCUACCAACA